CAGCUAGUUGGCGAGGUAACGGCUCACCAAGGCAACGACGGGUAGCUGGUCUGAGAGGAUGGCCAGCCACAUUGGGACUGAGAUACGGCCCAGACUCCUACGGGAGGCAGCAGUGGGGAAUCUUGCGCAAUGGCCUAACGGCUGACGCAGCGACGCCGCGUGUGGGAUGAAGCUCUUCGGAGUGUAAACCACUGUUGCCCGGGACGAAUAGCCCGAUUAAUCGAGCCUGACAGUACCGGGUGAGGAAGCACCGGCUAACUCCGUGCCAGCAGCCGCGGUAAUACGGGGGGUGCGAGCGUUGUCCGGAAUCACUGGGCGUAAAGGGCGCGUAGGUGGUUUGAUAAGGGUGUGGUGAAAGUCCGGGGCUCAACCCCGGAUCUGCCGUGCCGACUGUCAAACUCGAGGACUGUAGAGGCAGACGGAAUUCCGGGUGUAGCGGUGGAAUGCGUAGAGAUCCGGAGGAAGACCGGUGGCGAAGGCGGUCUGCUGGGCAGUUUCUGACACUGAUGCGCGACAGCGUGGGGAGCAAACAGGAUUAGAUACCCUGGUAGUCCACGCCGUAAACGAUGGGUACUAGGUGCCUGGGGGAGCGACCCUC
RNAcentral lists this ribosomal RNA (598 nucleotides) under uncultured Gemmatimonadota bacterium. RNAcentral describes it as "SSU rRNA". It matches the Rfam family "Bacterial small subunit ribosomal RNA", at positions 242 to 840 of the family's 1533-position model. The record is from RNAcentral. Lineage: Bacteria; Pseudomonadati; Gemmatimonadota.